Molecule: ribosomal RNA, 477 nt
Filed under: uncultured bacterium
Lineage: Bacteria
Description: partial 16S ribosomal RNA
Rfam family: Bacterial small subunit ribosomal RNA
Source: RNAcentral
GACGAACGCUGGCGGCGUGCUUAACACAUGCAAGUCGAACGGUAAGGCCCUUCGGGGUACACGAGUGGCGAACGGGUGAGUAACACGUGGGUGAUCUGCCCUGCACUUCGGGAUAAGCCUGGGAAACUGGGUCUAAUACCGGAUAGGACCCUGGGAUGCAUGUCCUGGGGUGGAAAGCUUUUGCGGUGUGGGGUGGGCCCGCGGCCUAUCAGCUUGUUGGUGGGGUGAUGGCCUACCAAGGCGACGACGGGUAGCCGGCCUGAGAGGGUGACCGGCCACAGUGGGACUGAGAUACGGCCCAGACGCCUACGGGAGGCAGCAGUGGGGAAUAUUGCACAAUGGGCGCAAGCCUGAUGCAGCGACGCCGCGUGAGGGAUGACGGCCUUCGGGUUGUAAACCUCUUUCAGCACCGACGAAGCGCAAGUGACGGUAGGUGCAGAAGAAGGACCGGCCAACUACGUGCCAGCAGCCCAGUAA